AUGAUAGAGGCGCGGUGUCCAACAGUACCGCGCGGCAUGGCAGGCAAGCCGCCGCGCGCGAAAGGGGCCACCGCCGAAGCACCCGGGCAAUUGCCUUUGCCGGGCAGCUGGGCCGCCGCAGAAUAUGCGGCGGACUGUCACGCAAAGCGUGAAGCGCUAUCAU
RNAcentral lists this non-coding RNA (163 nucleotides) under uncultured Ruthenibacterium sp. RNAcentral's name for it is "Lysine riboswitch". It matches the Rfam family "Lysine riboswitch aptamer". Rfam says of the family: Riboswitches are metabolite binding domains within certain messenger RNAs that serve as precision sensors for their corresponding targets. Allosteric rearrangement of mRNA structure is mediated by ligand binding, and this results in modulation of gene expression. This family includes riboswitches that sense lysine in a number of genes involved in lysine metabolism, including lysC. The record is from RNAcentral. Lineage: Bacteria; Bacillati; Bacillota; Clostridia; Eubacteriales; Oscillospiraceae.